This is a non-coding RNA of Pelobates cultripes (western spadefoot toad), 209 nucleotides long. NCBI's taxonomy places the organism in Eukaryota, Metazoa, Chordata, Amphibia, Anura, Pelobatidae. The record is from the annotation of a GenBank genome assembly.
CCAUUCGGCAGGUUUGUUCGGGAAAAAGAGUCAUUCGAAUGGCUGGGCUAUAGAAACCAGCCAUUCAUACGAACGGGAGACAAACAGACGAAUGCAAUUAAAAUACAAGCAGACAGAUGGUUCUGUCACAACUCAUUUAUUCAAUAAACAGCAAUUUUAAAGCUCAUAGAAUGUAAUAUCAUUUUUUAAGAACACCUAGCCUAGGCAAA